GGUACCCGAAGCAUUUUGGUGAUGCGCUUGCCUGUGAAGCAAGAGAAAGUGGUUCGAUACCAUUCUGGUGCCC
This 73-nucleotide transfer RNA is filed under the name Bacteroidia bacterium. RNAcentral's name for it is "tRNA-His". It matches the Rfam family "tRNA". From Rfam's summary of the family: Transfer RNA (tRNA) molecules are approximately 80 nucleotides in length. The record is from RNAcentral. Lineage: Bacteria; Pseudomonadati; Bacteroidota; Bacteroidia.